Mercenaria mercenaria is the source of this 416-nucleotide long non-coding RNA. RefSeq lists it as uncharacterized. NCBI's taxonomy places the organism in Eukaryota, Metazoa, Mollusca, Bivalvia, Venerida, Veneridae. The record is from RefSeq and is a predicted model, not a curated record. The transcript has 4 exons.
GCUGUACUGUGAAGAGCUUGGCGUAAAGGUAAAUAAGAACAGGUGUGACGUCAUGCGGAAAUCAAUAGCGUUUGUUGUCAACACGGAUUUCUUAUGAAGUUAUAGUAAAGCAUACAUUGUGCAAGUCCGAAAUUUAUUCUGCCAGUGCUGAAAGAAGAGCUACAUUUCGACCACUCCUCUUGAAUUUGCAUGGUAGCCAUGGAUGUUCACUAAAGUUGACUUUAAAUCGACUGUUGAACCAGUCAUUAUACCAGAUUGCAGUUUGUGGUAACAGAGCUGAUAUAGUUGAUACAUUUUGAUCAUUCUUGAAUCUUAGUGUCAUGGAUUUUCGCUGAAGUUGAAUCAGUAUUGGACUGUCAGUAUUUGUACUAGGAUGAGGAGCAGAUACAGAAGAGCUGUGUAAUCUAUGUUAAACA